RNAcentral lists this ribosomal RNA (301 nucleotides) under uncultured bacterium. RNAcentral describes it as "partial 16S ribosomal RNA". It matches the Rfam family "Bacterial small subunit ribosomal RNA", at positions 509 to 807 of the family's 1533-position model. The record is from RNAcentral.
CAGUAGCCGCGGUAAUACGAGGGGGGCAAGCGUUGUUCGGAAUUAUUGGGCGUAGAGGGUGCGUAGGCGGUUUGAUAAGUCUUGUGUGAAAUCUCUGGGCUCAACCUGGGAAUGGCAAUGGAUACUGGCAAGCUAGAGUGUGUCAGAGGAUGGUGGAAUUCCCGGUGUAGCGGUGAAAUGCGUAGAGAUCGGGAGGAACAUCAGUGGCGAAGGCGGCCAUCUGGGACAACACUGACGCUGAGGCACGAAAGCGUGGGGAGCAAACAGGAUUAGAUACCCCCGUAGUCCCUGUCUCUUAUAC